This 465-nucleotide ribosomal RNA is filed under the name Vreelandella stevensii. RNAcentral describes it as "partial 16S ribosomal RNA". It matches the Rfam family "Bacterial small subunit ribosomal RNA", at positions 338 to 795 of the family's 1533-position model. Lineage: Bacteria; Pseudomonadati; Pseudomonadota; Gammaproteobacteria; Oceanospirillales; Halomonadaceae. The record is from RNAcentral.
CCUACGGGGGGCAGCAGUGGGGAAUAUUGGACAAUGGGGGCAACCCUGAUCCAGCCAUGCCGCGUGUGUGAAGAAGGCCCUCGGGUUGUAAAGCACUUUCAGUGAGGAAGAACGCCUGGUGGUUAAUACCCAUCAGGAAAGACAUCACUCACAGAAGAAGCACCGGCUAACUCCGUGCCAGCAGCCGCGGUAAUACGGAGGGUGCGAGCGUUAAUCGGAAUUACUGGGCGUAAAGCGCGCGUAGGUGGCUUGAUAAGCCGGUUGUGAAAGCCCCGGGCUCAACCUGGGAACGGCAUCCGGAACUGUCCAGCUAGAGUGCAGGAGAGGAAGGUAGAAUUCCCGGUGUAGCGGUGAAAUGCGUAGAGAUCGGGAGGAAUACCAGUGGCGAAGGCGGCCUUCUGGACUGACACUGACACUGAGGUGCGAAAGCGUGGGUAGCAAACAGGAUUAGAUACCCUAGUAGUC